Molecule: ribosomal RNA, 492 nt
Filed under: uncultured bacterium
Lineage: Bacteria
Description: partial 16S ribosomal RNA
Rfam family: Bacterial small subunit ribosomal RNA
Source: RNAcentral
AGUGAACGCUGGCGGUAGGCCUAACACAUGCAAGUCGAACGGCAGCACAGUAAGAGCUUGCUCUUACGGGUGGCGAGUGGCGGACGGGUGAGGAAUACAUUGGAAUCUACUUUUUCGUGGGGGAUAACGUAGGGAAACUUACGCUAAUACCGCAUACGACCUACGGGUGAAAGCAGGGGAUCUUCGGACCUUGCGCGAUUGAAUGAGCCGAUGUCGGAUUAGCUAGUUGGCGGGGUAAAGGCCCACCAAGGCGACGAUCCGUAGCUGGUCUGAGAGGAUGAACAGCCACACUGGAACUGAGACACGGUCCAGACUCCUACGGGAGGCAGCAGUGGGGAAUAUUGGACAAUGGGCGCAAGCCUGAUCCAGCCAUACCGCGUGGGUGAAGAAGGCCUUCGGGUUGUAAAGCCCUUUUGUUGGGAAAGAAAAGCAGCAGGUUAAUACCCCGCUGUUCUGACGGUACCCAAAGAAUAAGCACCGGCUAACUUCGUG